Molecule: long non-coding RNA, 194 nt
Organism: Octopus sinensis (East Asian common octopus)
Lineage: Eukaryota; Metazoa; Mollusca; Cephalopoda; Octopoda; Octopodidae
Exons: 4
Source: RefSeq, a predicted model, not a curated record
CCCGUCGUAUUUCAGUUGUCAUACAUGACUGGCUAGUGACGUAACGUAUCUCCUUUCCGGCAUCCUGAAGGAGGAUCUGUGGCUGGAGAGGCGUUGUUUGAAUGUGUUACCAGCGCAACUGAUGUAUCUCUGUGGUCGGGUGUUGGCAGUGCUGCGUCUGUUGGUGUUGCUUCGAUUUGAUGAUAAACUGUAAA